UCCCUCCCCCGGGAGGGGCGAGAUGCCCCGUACCCGGAUGUUGGGGGGACUCCUUCCCAGAAGGGGAGAAACCACCCGAAUCCGGGUGUCAGGGGAAGCUCCCACUGUGCCCAGGGUGGAGGGCACUCUCCAUCCGGAGGGAUGAGACCCCCAAACCCAGGUGUCAGGGCGGGGGGAGAUCCCAUGGCAACUGCUGUCCAGGGCACUUCAACCCCCAGAGGAGAGACAGCCUGAACCUAGUUGUCUGGAGGAGCACCCACUGCACCCAGUGUCAAGGUCACUCCAUUUCCUGUGGAGGGGUGAGACACCCUGAACCUGUGUGUCGGGCAGUGAUCCCACCACACCCAGGGUAGAGGGUACUCGCCCCCCUUGAAAGUGUGAGACUCCCGAGGUGUUGUGGGGAGUUCCCACCGCACAUGGGGUCAAGGGCACUCCCCAGCCCCAGGAGGGACAAGACGCUCCAAACCCUGGUGUUGGGGGACUCCCUCUUUGGC
RNAcentral lists this long non-coding RNA (494 nucleotides) under Marmota monax (woodchuck). Lineage: Eukaryota; Metazoa; Chordata; Mammalia; Rodentia; Sciuridae. The record is from RNAcentral.